Molecule: long non-coding RNA, 652 nt
Organism: Aedes albopictus (Asian tiger mosquito)
Lineage: Eukaryota; Metazoa; Arthropoda; Insecta; Diptera; Culicidae
Exons: 2
Source: RefSeq, a predicted model, not a curated record
AUAGAUUAACAUUUGAAUUCAUUGUUACUUUUGGAUUCAGCGUUCAAACCAUUGGUUUACAAUAGAAUGUAUCAGCUACAUUGAAAUGUACCGUUUUUCAAUGGUCUGAACGAUUAAAAAAAAACCCUGCUUUUAAGUAAUUUCGAAACAGUGUGUAUCGAUGACAGCCAAGUUUUUUUGUUAUCAGUUUGGUCGUCGGCGGUAAAAUUUUUCGAAGUGUAGGUUCGUCUGCGGAAAAUGUGGAAAAUUCACGCUCAACUGCGUGAAUUUUCCGCACGGGAGUGAUUAUAGUGUGCGGUGCAGUGUAAAAGCAUACAACAGUAGCAGCAUUUCAACAGGAGUCGCAAGGGCAUGAAGCCUGUGUAGGAGCAGUUAGCUCACAGCUUGUUCGAUCGCAUUGCGGUCGAAGGAAUGCGCACGAUUAUGACUGAUCGCUGCAUGGACGAGAACUAGGAGCGCUGAGAAGAGAACGGGGAUGCGGAAUGCUGGAUCAAGGAACUUUGUGGUUUUAUUUUGAAAGCACCGAUCGGUUCAGUAGUUUCCGAGUCUAUUAGGGUCAGACAGACAGACAUACAUUAGUAACUCAUUUUUAUAUAUAAAGAUAGAUAGAUGGAUACCAGGAUAGAUAGAUAUUUCAAUUUUACCAUUCUAA